RNAcentral lists this ribosomal RNA (414 nucleotides) under uncultured bacterium. RNAcentral describes it as "bacterial SSU rRNA". It matches the Rfam family "Bacterial small subunit ribosomal RNA", at positions 8 to 436 of the family's 1533-position model. The record is from RNAcentral.
AGAGUUUGAUCCUGGCUCAGAAUCAACGCUGGCGGCGCGCUUAACACAUGCAAGUCGCACGAGAAAGUGGAGCAAUCCAUGAGUAAAGUGGCGUACGGGUGAGUAACACGUGGAUCAUCUACCUUUUAGUGGGGAAUACCCCUGGGAAACCGGGGAUAAUACCGCAUAAGCUCGUAAGAGGAAAGCAGCAAUGCGCUGAAAGAGGAGUCCGCGGCUGAUUAGCUAGUUGGUGAGGUAACGGCCCACCAAGGCGAAGAUCGGUAGCCGGCCUGAGAGGGCACACGGCCACACUGGCACUGAAACACGGGCCAGACUCCUACGGGAGGCAGCAGUGGGGAAUCUUGCACAAUGGAGGAAACUCUGAUGCAGCGACGCCGCGUGAGCGAUGAAGCCCUUCGGGGUGUAAAGCUCUUC